GCUGUCGUCAGCUCGUGUUGUGAAAUGUUGGGUUAAGUCCCGCAACGAGCGCAACCCUUAUCCUUUGUUGCCAGCGGUCCGGCCGGGAACUCAAAGGAGACUGCCAGUGAUAAACUGGAGGAAGGUGGGGAUGACGUCAAGUCAUCAUGGCCCUUACGACCAGGGCUACACACGUGCUACAAUGGCGCAUACAAAGAGAAGCGACCUCGCGAGAGCAAGCGGACCUCAUAAAGUGCGUCGUAGUCCGGACUGGAGUCUGCAACUCGACUCCAUGAAGUCGGAAUCGCUAGUAAUCGUGGAUCAGAAUGCCACGGUGAAUACGUUCCCGGGCCUUGUACACACCGCCCGUCACACCAUGGGAGUGGGUUGCAAAAGAAGUAGGUAGCUUAACCUUCGGGAGGGCGCUUACCACUUUGUGAUUCAUGACUGGGGUGAAGUCGUAACAAGGUAACCGUAGGGGAACCUGCGGUUGGA
Molecule: ribosomal RNA, 474 nt
Filed under: Salmonella enterica
Lineage: Bacteria; Pseudomonadati; Pseudomonadota; Gammaproteobacteria; Enterobacterales; Enterobacteriaceae
Also listed under: 8 other names
Description: bacterial SSU rRNA
Rfam family: Bacterial small subunit ribosomal RNA
Source: RNAcentral